Fukomys damarensis (Damara mole-rat) is the source of this 3634-nucleotide long non-coding RNA. RefSeq lists it as uncharacterized. The transcript has 7 exons. Lineage: Eukaryota; Metazoa; Chordata; Mammalia; Rodentia; Bathyergidae. The record is from RefSeq and is a predicted model, not a curated record.
AGAUCUUCAGUACCGUCUAGGGUUUUUCUAGGAGGCUUGCCCAUUUCUCAGAGUGCAUCCUUACUGGGAAGCAACGUGUGACCGCAAUUUAAGAAAACACACCUUCCUUCCGUUGUCACCCUCACCCUGUCACAGACAACUUCUAGGAAGGCUUCUGCAUGGUCAUUCCUGUUCUUUUUCUCACUGUCACCCUCCUCUGUUCCUCAGGGCACUCCAAGCUGGCCUGCUCCCACUAUUCCAAUGAAUCUGCGCUAGCUGAUGGCAAUGCCUAUUAAGACGAGACAUUUCUCCAUCUUCACCUCACUGAUUUCCUAGUAAAACUGAUGCAGGUGAUUGCCGUUUCUUGAAACGCUUUCCUUGCUUCCUACAGUUCUAUUUUCUCGUCAUGCUGCCAGCUCCUUUUGUUCCUCCCCUCUACACCCACCCAGCUGUCAGUCCAGAACCUUGGCAAUCAUCCCAAUUCUGCAUAUUUCACACACUCAACCCAACCCACCACCUUCCAACUCUCUCCACCUCUCCCUGCUCUAUUCUCUAUAAUUCAAGUAACCAAACAACUCUCCCUAGAUGCUGCAAACCAGCUGGGUUCACACGCUCUGUGCACAGUGGUCUCCAGAUCUGGUGCCUGAAAUUUCCCGCUCCCACUGUGUGAUUAGUCCUUCACCAUCCACCACUAGGAAAUCAGAACAUCGGUUCAUCUAGUUCAAGGGGCAAUGAAUGGUGCAAAACACAAUGAGGACCAGCCCCCAAAAAGUCCACACUUGCCAUACGACAAUCUGGACCCGAGGCAGAUUCUGUUUCCGGUUAUGAGUGAUGUCACUUCCCCUCUGGUUGCCUGGAGCUUUUAAGGACUGGCCAAAGUUCCAGAUCCCCUUACCCUCUUCCUCUUUGCAUCUUUUCUAGUUUAGUCUGGAGAAGAGCCUGGCAAGAGCCCCCAUCCCGCCACCCCACUCUGCAGCCAGGGGCUUGAAUAACUUGGGGGCAGAGGAAGGACCAUCCUGCGAGAGGAAAUGACUGGGGUGACAGAAUUGGAGUGACAAACAAGAAAGAAGGGUGGAAGAGAGUUGGGCCGAUGGAAGGGGUGGAUGCAGUGCGGGUGCAGAAGCGAUGAUGUGUAGUAGCCAGGACUUCAUGGCCAUAAAAUUGCCAGGGAUUGCGCGCAGGACCUCCUUGGCAGGUGCAACAAAUACCAUUGUUAAGAAGGCAGAGAAGGCAGCAGGAGAUCAGAGUCAUUGGCCUUUAUUUUGAAAAUGAGGAUCUCUUUUUAAGUACCUUGAAGGCACUUAAACAUAUUGUCACUCAUACCCAAAGAACAAAGCCACGAUCUCCUUUGCCUGGAUGUUGGACCAGGUUGCCAAAUAGGGCCUUCCUCCACACAGCCUGGACAUUCAGUUUUGCUUAGUUACUGUGUGGGCUUUUUAGCCUGAUGUUUUCUUUCUUUCUUUUAUGGAAGAGAGCAACAUAAGUUCGCCAGCUGCUGAGUUUGUGGAAUCAUUUUAUUUGGUACAACUUUCACAACUACUUGUGUCAGGUAGAGUGUGAAAACAUCUCUCAAGUACACUGUUCACCUAGCGAGCAUGCUGCCACACUCAGUUGCUGAAAGCCAAGAGGAACAAGCUUGAACGAUUAGCGCCAUCACCCCCGGACCUGGUUACCUGCCACAGUCUCCCAAUUUGGCAUCCCCAUUUGCAAGCUUGUAACCCACUUCCAACAUCCCAGUCCAUUCUCCACACGGCAGCAGCCAAAAUAUUUAAAAUUGAUACGUGCAAACCAGUGCUGUAGGAACUAAAUACAAAGUGUGCACAGCGGCUAAGUCCUGGAAGCAGCCUGCAUAUCCAUCAACAGAUGAUUAGAGAAAAUGUGGUACCUUUAUAUAAUGGAAUAUGACUCUGCUAUAGAGAGUGACAGAUUUGAGACGUUUGUGGAAAAACAGAUGCACCUGGAAAGUAUAAUGCGGAGUGAAAUAACAGACACACAAAGACCAUAUAGUAUCUCAUUUGAGUAGCACAAAGUACGAACAAAGAGCCCAGGGCAGGAUGACUAUAAGGAGACACGGGGACUGAGCUCUUGCAAAUGGGAAGGGGUCCAAGAGAAAGUGGGUUCUGAGAAGAGAGGGUGAGAGGAAGCGGAAAUAAGUAGAAUAAAGACGUGUUAUGCACAGGAACCUCAUAACCUCCGUGAACGUAAACAUGAGAUAAGAUUCGUACUGUCAUCAUUGCGUUUUCUUGUAUCUGUCUUCCUCUGUUUAUGGGCUGCCUCCUCCCUGUCCCUAACGCGAGCUCCACGGAAGCCCAGAUCUGGCCUCUCUUGUGCGUGGCCAUGUCACCAGGGUGCCCACCAGGCUCCGUGCUGCACCGAUGAACAUCAGCGCGUGGAGACUCUUGGCCCCUGCGUUGUUACGCUCUCAUCUCAGAUACCUGGGGACGGGGAGGCUGGGAAAGCUCAGGGGAGCAAAUGGCAGCUAGAGGAGACCCCAAGCACAUGGCAUGGGCAAGGACAUGUGGGGAGAGGCCGGAGAAACACUUGGGGUGGGACGGUUGGAGGUGAAGGAAAGUGAGGGCGAUGUGGAACAGAUCUAAGAUACGUUCCACCGGUCUUAAAGCUUGCACACGAGAGCACCUGUUUCUGUCUGUCUGUCUGUCUGUCUGUCCGUCUGUCAUCUCUCCAGGAGGCAGAGUGGUGUGUCUCAGCAUUGGCCAUGAACUUGCUGGGCCUCGUUGUGGCGCAGGGGCCUAGGUGGGGCUGUGUCACCCUGAAGACCCCAAGGCCCAUCACAUUAUCACUCAGGACGUGAGGCUGCAGCCGGAGAAAGCACAGUGGCUCCGGACAGAAGGAAGCCGGGAAGCGAUGGUUCUGCAUCGGUUGUGACUCAUCAAGUGCUGCAGUGCAAACCAGCGCGCUUCCCCGGGAGACGCAGCACACGCGAGUCAGGCCUCUGUGCCCGGCCCCUGAUGAGAAGGGCUUAGCUCCUCGAGGAGUCAGCGCUCCAUAAACAGCCCCGGAUGUGGCUGCUAAUGGUUUGCGGCCUUCCUGCCUCGGAGCAUCUGCUGAGCUGUCUGGUGAAGGCCGAGGUCGACCAGGUCCUUCCCGCUCCUGCCUCCUCCAUUUUGAUAACUCCCUAGCGCCUCGGGUCAUCGACCUUUCCGGUCACCAUUGGUUUUGCUAAGAGGGGAAAAGCGAGGUGGAACAGCUACUCCGAGUGGUCGGAAAACAAAACAAACUGCCAGUUAACAGGGUUAGGGUGAGGGGACCCCUUGACAGUUCUUGCUGGCGACAUUGCUCCACGUGUCUUCUGCCUUAGCUGAGCGAGAUUCACUGAGUCAUCCUGACGCUACUACUACUGUUCUGUGGAGCCCAUGACGAAGACUGACCCAAAGGUGAGAGUAGCAUUCUUUGUCAGAGAGAAAGGAGCACAAGGUAACGGAGGCUGUUUCAGUUUGGAUUCCCUAGACCAGAUCCAGAAGCCCCGCCUGAACUCUUCCCUGCUGCCGAGAGGUGAGCAGCAUUCUUCUGCCUCACCCUUCUUCCACCACCACGUUUCUGGCCCAGAACCACCCAUCCAUGGACUGAAGUUUCCAAAGCCGUGAGCCUAAAUAAACCUCUCCUCCUGCCAGUUAUCUUUGUCAGCAUCUUGUCC